CUACGGAGGGUGCAAGCGUUAAUCGGAAUUACUGGGCGUAAAGCGUACGUAGGCGGUUAUUUAAGUCAGAUGUGAAAGCCCCGGGCUUAACUUGGGAACUGCAUUUGAAACUGGGUAACUAGAGUUUAGUAGAGGGGAGUGGAAUUUCAGGUGUAGCGGUGAAAUGCGUAGAGAUCUGAAGGAACACCAGUGGCGAAGGCGACUCCCUGGACUAGAACUGACGCUGAGGUACGAAAGCGUGGGUAGCAAACAGGAUUAGAAACCCCUGUAGUCC
Molecule: ribosomal RNA, 274 nt
Filed under: uncultured bacterium
Lineage: Bacteria
Description: partial 16S ribosomal RNA
Rfam family: Bacterial small subunit ribosomal RNA
Source: RNAcentral